Molecule: small nucleolar RNA, 135 nt
Organism: Sorex fumeus (smoky shrew)
Lineage: Eukaryota; Metazoa; Chordata; Mammalia; Eulipotyphla; Soricidae
Product: U8 small nucleolar RNA
Exons: 1
Source: RefSeq, a predicted model, not a curated record
UUGUUAGGUAGGAAAAUUCUUACCUGUUCCUCUAGUUAAGAGGUAGAUAGAACGGGAUGUCUAGAAUUAGCAAAAUUUGUGAUUAAUGUCUCUGCAUGAUUAGGACUUACAACACCCUUAUUACACCAAACUGAU